CUGAAACAGUAUUACCAAAUGAUUCUACCAUCUACCUGGAAAAUAAAUGGCAUUCUUUGAUUUUUCACAAAACCGCUGAAAAUUCGGUACACAUUUAUCAAGACGGAUUCUUUCGUUUAAAGCUGGAGUCAACCUUUGUCCUUUUAAAAGGAGUGAAUAUCAUUCAUGUAGAAGGUAAAAGUGAAAUUUCACAGCUACAUAUUUGGACUGCAAACAGAGAAG
Long non-coding RNA from Saccostrea echinata, 222 nucleotides. RefSeq lists it as uncharacterized. The record is from RefSeq and is a predicted model, not a curated record. Lineage: Eukaryota; Metazoa; Mollusca; Bivalvia; Ostreida; Ostreidae. The transcript is spliced from 3 exons.